UGAAGCACUUUGGAUAAGGGAGACACUGCCUAAGAAGACUUCAGGUUGGUGACAGUCCUGGAAGUCUCCCUGAGGCAGAAAGUUUUACAGUAAAUGAGGAACAGCCACCUUUAUCAGAUAUCUAUUUCUGAAAGCCUGACAUUGGCAGGAGAACUCGACAAAGGCAAAGACCUGCGUUGGCUCUGACAGGAGUACGUUCUGAAAAGUUAAUAUCACACCAGAGACAGUUUAUUUUAAAGGCAGGUUGAAACAGACCUGCUACCCUGCAGACUUGAAUGCAACAAAUGAAAUGCAAACUGAGCUCAGCUCCUGCAAGACCCAUUGAAACUGCCCUCCUAUAAAGGGUCUCACUAAGUUGUCCAUGCUGGCCUCAAACUUGAGAUUCUCCUGCCUCAGCCUCCCUGGUAACUACAAUUAUAGGCAUAUGCCAUGCACCAGGCUUCAAGGUUAAGGCACGUUACAGUUACAGGCACAAUUAACAACAUUAAGAUAUACUUCUUGGGGACAUGUGUGUGAGUUGGAACCUCAGAGGCAAAUCUACAUGUGACCUGCAGGUCUCACUUCACACAGUUCCCACCCGUGGCAGCUGUUGGGAGCAACAGAAGAAAGAAGAUGCCACCAACGGUCCCUCUCCUGUGGUCUGCAGGCAUGUGAGCGUCUCCUCUUGGUGGGAACUUGGUCAGGAGGGUACCACUUCCCCUUGGCCGGGAAUUCCAGGGCUGAUGUGGUGAUGUGAUUUGACAUAAGAGGUUGUGAUCGACGCAGAAGAAAACUGGGAAUAGAGCAGAGUUCGGCUGACUCACCGUCUUGUGCUCUCGCCACACUGCCCAUGACAGAGGCAGGGGAAGGUGGCUCAGACGGGUCCUCCUGCCCCACUGGCUGGUGCCCCUCUCUCUGCGCUUCUUGCUCCUCCACUCCAAAGGUGCCUGAUCCCAACCUCGUUUCAGCCCACUGCACUGCACCCUGGUAAGUUGGCGUGUCACUGGUACUCUGGAAGUGCUGAUUGAGUGCACCCAUCUUCCCACUCUCCUUCUCCACCACCCUGAUUCUCGGCACAUCCCUGCUUAACAACUCCAGCCCCCUCCUAUCCCGUGCUCGAAAUCCAACCUCAGGGAAUUAGAAGGAUUCUGCCAAAAAGAACGCCAUAUUCCCACUCCUCCGGUGCUGGUUCCACACCCAUUGCCACCAAAAUACAAAACCACAAGUAUCCAAAAAAAGUUCUUCAGCUUCAGAUAAACAGAAUGGGUGAGAAAAAGGCAUGGACACAAUGAAAGAAGACAGGAGGAAAGAUAUUGGGUCCAUUUGCCCCGAAAACUGUGUCCCACUUGGCCCUGACCCUACCAUCAGAAUAGACACUUUUUCCUGUGCCCCAGCUGCUCGUGAGCCUGGACUGCUCUCGUUCCUCCAUCUUCUUCUGGCCCAUCCUUUCCCACAAAGCCUCCAAAGCUGCUCAUGACAGAGUUUGUAUUAUGAUUUCACUGCUCCUCUGUACGUAUCUUAUCUUCUCCCUGUUAUGAAACUCUCUGAGAACUGAGACCACAUUCCUGAAUGUAUCCAAGCAUAUCAGGUUUGGGACUGAGACCUGGGAAACAUGCCCAGAUCAACCCUUUGGUGCUGAUAUGACCAUGGUUAAGGCCAAUAAUAAUCUCUAUCUUAUAGGACUACCAGGAAUAGUAAAUGAGUCAAUAUAUGUAAUUAGUUAUUUCUCGACCACUAACAUCCCAUUCUUCACAAUACCUAU
Molecule: long non-coding RNA, 1741 nt
Organism: Marmota monax (woodchuck)
Lineage: Eukaryota; Metazoa; Chordata; Mammalia; Rodentia; Sciuridae
Exons: 3
Source: RefSeq, a predicted model, not a curated record